UUUGCAUCGACAACUGCUUUACUCUUCAGCAAAGGAAUUUCAAACGUGGAUAGCUCUUGUAAGAAAGCUCUGGAAAGCUUCUCACAGUCAUCAUUGUUACUCGCAUCCUUUUCAAUCUCAAGAACAAAGGAAGUAAACUUCUUCUGGAGCUUCUUCAAUGGAGGUUCCCCCCUUGUGGUCGUUGUCCGGGUGAGAAGCCUG
This 201-nucleotide unclassified non-coding RNA is filed under the name Hevea brasiliensis (rubber tree). The record is from RNAcentral. Lineage: Eukaryota; Viridiplantae; Streptophyta; Magnoliopsida; Malpighiales; Euphorbiaceae.